Molecule: ribosomal RNA, 468 nt
Filed under: uncultured bacterium
Lineage: Bacteria
Description: partial 16S ribosomal RNA
Rfam family: Bacterial small subunit ribosomal RNA
Source: RNAcentral
GACGAACGCUGGCGGCGUGCUUAACACAUGCAAGUCGAACGGAAAGGCCCUGCUUUUGUGGGGUGCUCGAGUGGCGAGCGGGUGAGUAACACGUGAGUAACCUGCCCUUGACUUUGGGAUAACUUCAGGAAACUGGGGCUAAUACCGGAUAGGAGCUCCUGCUGCAUGGUGGGGGUUGGAAAGUUUCGGCGGUUGGGGAUGGACUCGCGGCUUAUCAGCUUGUUGGUGGGGUAGUGGCUUACCAAGGCUUUGACGGGUAGCCGGCCUGAGAGGGUGACCGGCCACAUUGGGACUGAGAUACGGACCAGACUCCUACGGGAGGCAGCAGUGGGGAAUAUUGCACAAUGGGCGGAAGCCUGAUGCAGCAACGCCGCGUGCGGGAUGACGGCCUUCGGGUUGUAAACCGCUUUCGCCUGUGACGAAGCGUGAGUGACGGUAAUGGGUAAAGAAGCACCGGCUAACUACGUG